UUAAUUUUAGAAAUAUGUAUUAUAUCCUGAGUAGGUUCAGACACGAGAAAUCUGGAUUGAAACAGGGGAGACCACUCUCCAAGGCUAAAAAGUAUUCGAGAUCGAUAGCGAACAAGUACCAUGAGGGAAAGGUGAAAAGAACCCCGGAAGGGGAGUGAAAUAGAACCUGAAAUUUUAUGCUGAUAAAGAGAUGGAGCCUACGGGUGACAUCGUACUUUUUGUAGAACGGACCAACGAGUUAGUGUAUUUGGCAAGGUUAAGGGAGUAUAACCCGAAGCCGAAGUGAAAGCGAGCCUGAAGAGGGCAUAAGUCAAGUAUACUAGACCCGAAACUGGGUGAGCUUCCCAUGAGCAGGCUGAAGUAUAGGUAAAACUGUAUGGAGGGCCGAACCAAUUGGAGCUGCAAGUCCUUUGGAUGACUUGUGGGAAGGAGUGAAAAGCUAAUCGAACCCAGAGAUAGCUGGUUCUCCGCGAAAUAGCUUUAGGGCUAGCCUUGGUGAACUAUUAUAUAGGGGUAGAGCUCUGAUUGGGCUAGCGGGCUUCACGGCUUAGUCAACCCAGACAAACUUCGAAUACUAUAUAAAUUACAUCAGGAGUCAGACGGUGAGAGAUAAGUCCCAUCGUCAAAAGGGAAACAGCCCAGAUUACUAUCUAAGGUCCCUAAUUAACAACUAAGUGGCAAAGGAUGUGGGGUUGCUGAGACAACCAGGAGGUUGGCUUAGAAGCAGCCAUUCCUUAAAAGAGUGCGUAAUAGCUCACUGGUCAAGCGACCCUGCGCCGAAAAUACAACGGGGCUCAAGUUGUUAACCGAAGAUGUAAAAUCGUAAGAUUGGUAGCGGAGCGUUCUGUAAGCCGCAGAAGGUGAGGGGUAACCCGAGCUGGAGGUAUCAGAAGCGAAAAUGUUGGUAUGAGUAACGAGAGGGAAAUGAAAACAUUCCCCAUCGGAAACCCAAGGUUUCCUACGCAACGGCAGUCGUCGUAGGGUUAGUCGGUCCUAAGGUGAAGCUGAAAGGCAAAGCUGAUGGAUACCAGGUUAAUAUUCCUGGACUACUUAUAUAACUGAAGGGGGGACAUAUUUGGAUAUAAGAGAUACUUAAUUACUUGUAUUACGAAAGCGAAACUAGGGAUAUAGGCAAAUCCGUAUUCCUAUUAAAGUUGAGCUAAGUUAAGUUGAUGGAAGCCAUUAUUGGUGGAAAGAUUCUGCUCUUACUAUAUUCAGGUAUCGAGAAAAGCCUCUAAGGGUUAAUUGUAUAAGUAACCGUACCGCAAUCAAACACAUGUGGGUUGGUGGAGAACACCAAGAUGAACGAGAAAACUAUGCUUAAGGAACUCGGCAAAACAGCGGUCGUAACUUCGGGAUAAGACCUGCCUAGAGUGUAAUUUACAAACUAGGCCGCAGCGAAAGAACUCAGGCGACUGUUUACCAAAAACACAGCUCUCUGCAAACUCGUAAGAGGAAGUAUAGGGGGUGAUGCCUGCCCAGUGUCAGAAGGUUACAUGGAUGUGUGAGAGCAUUGAAAUCAAGCCCUGAUGAACGGCGGCCGUAACUAUAACGGUCCUAAGGUAGCGAAAUUCCUUGUCGGGUAAGUUCCGACCCGCACGAAUGGCAUAACGGUCUGAGUACUGUCUCAAGCAUAGACUCGGUGAAAUUGCAAUUACGGUAAAAAUGCCGUAUACUCGCAGCAAGACGGAAAGACCCUAUGGAGCUUUACUAUAGCUUGGUAUUGGGUUAUGGUUUAAGAUGUGCAGGAUAGGUGGGAGACGAAGAAGUGGGAACGCAAGUUCUUAUGGAGUCACUGUUGAGAUACCACCCUUCUUAAAACGUAACUCUAACUCUAGAAGAGGACAGUGCUUGGUGGGUAGUUUAACUGGGGCGGUUGCCUCCUAAAGAGUAACGGAGGCGCACAAAGGUUGACUAUCUCCGGAUGGAAAUCGGAGAGAUAGUGUAUUCGCAAAAGUCAGCCUGACUGAGAGACUAACAAGUCGAGCAGAUACGAAAGUAGGUGAAAAUGAUCCGGCAUUAACAAGUGGAAGUGAUGUCGCUCAACGGAUAAAAGUUACCCUAGGGAUAACAGGCUGAUCGCGUCCAAGAGUUCAUAUCGACGACGCGGUUUGGCACCUCGAUGUCGGCUCGUCGCAUCCUGGGGCUG
RNAcentral lists this ribosomal RNA (2149 nucleotides) under human metagenome. RNAcentral describes it as "bacterial LSU rRNA". It matches the Rfam family "Bacterial large subunit ribosomal RNA", at positions 382 to 2555 of the family's 2925-position model. The record is from RNAcentral.